Molecule: ribosomal RNA, 1443 nt
Filed under: Plantibacter flavus
Lineage: Bacteria; Bacillati; Actinomycetota; Actinomycetes; Micrococcales; Microbacteriaceae
Description: bacterial SSU rRNA
Rfam family: Bacterial small subunit ribosomal RNA
Source: RNAcentral
GACGAACGCUGGCGGCGUGCUUAACACAUGCAAGUCGAACGAUGAAGCCCAGCUUGCUGGGUGGAUUAGUGGCGAACGGGUGAGUAACACGUGAGUAACCUGCCCUUGACUCUGGGAUAAGCGUUGGAAACGACGUCUAAUACCGGAUACGAGCUUCCACCGCAUGGUGAGUUGCUGGAAAGAAUUUUGGUCAAGGAUGGACUCGCGGCCUAUCAGCUUGUUGGUGAGGUAAUGGCUCACCAAGGCGACGACGGGUAGCCGGCCUGAGAGGGUGACCGGCCACACUGGGACUGAGACACGGCCCAGACUCCUACGGGAGGCAGCAGUGGGGAAUAUUGCACAAUGGGCGAAAGCCUGAUGCAGCAACGCCGCGUGAGGGACGACGGCCUUCGGGUUGUAAACCUCUUUUAGCAGGGAAGAAGCGAAAGUGACGGUACCUGCAGAAAAAGCACCGGCUAACUACGUGCCAGCAGCCGCGGUAAUACGUAGGGUGCAAGCGUUGUCCGGAAUUAUUGGGCGUAAAGAGCUCGUAGGCGGUUUGUCGCGUCUGCUGUGAAAUCCCGAGGCUCAACCUCGGGUCUGCAGUGGGUACGGGCAGACUAGAGUGCGGUAGGGGAGAUUGGAAUUCCUGGUGUAGCGGUGGAAUGCGCAGAUAUCAGGAGGAACACCGAUGGCGAAGGCAGAUCUCUGGGCCGCUACUGACGCUGAGGAGCGAAAGGGUGGGGAGCAAACAGGCUUAGAUACCCUGGUAGUCCACCCCGUAAACGUUGGGCGCUAGAUGUGGGGACCAUUCCACGGUUUCCGUGUCGUAGCUAACGCAUUAAGCGCCCCGCCUGGGGAGUACGGCCGCAAGGCUAAAACUCAAAGGAAUUGACGGGGGCCCGCACAAGCGGCGGAGCAUGCGGAUUAAUUCGAUGCAACGCGAAGAACCUUACCAAGGCUUGACAUAUACGAGAACGGGCCAGAAAUGGUCAACUCUUUGGACACUCGUAAACAGGUGGUGCAUGGUUGUCGUCAGCUCGUGUCGUGAGAUGUUGGGUUAAGUCCCGCAACGAGCGCAACCCUCGUUCUAUGUUGCCAGCACGUAAUGGUGGGAACUCAUGGGAUACUGCCGGGGUCAACUCGGAGGAAGGUGGGGACGACGUCAAAUCAUCAUGCCCCUUAUGUCUUGGGCUUCACGCAUGCUACAAUGGCCAGUACAAAGGGCUGCAAUACCGUAAGGUGGAGCGAAUCCCAAAAAGCUGGUCCCAGUUCGGAUUGAGGUCUGCAACUCGACCUCAUGAAGUCGGAGUCGCUAGUAAUCGCAGAUCAGCAACGCUGCGGUGAAUACGUUCCCGGGCCUUGUACACACCGCCCGUCAAGUCAUGAAAGUCGGUAACACCCGAAGCCAGUGGCCUAACCGCAAGGAUGGAGCUGUCUAAGGUGGGAUCGGUAAUUAGGACU